UUGCAAUGUUCCUUUGAAACUCUUUAGGCUCGGCUUACUCGUUCUAGGGUCCGGGCAUUAUCUAUUUCCACACCCGAGUCUCUCAAAAUGAGAAGAACCAGAUCAGGUCGAGUGAUAGUACCUCAAUUGGAUUCAGUAAUAAGUUGGGUUGUCUAUGACAGGGAUGGGUUCAUUUCAGGCGUUGCUCAUACGCAUAAUGGUUUGUUGAGAAGCUCUCGUGCCAAAUUUGCUUGCCGUAUAUAGCUUUCCCUCCUUGUAAGCAUAAUCACGUGUG
This is a long non-coding RNA of Hordeum vulgare subsp. vulgare (domesticated barley), 274 nucleotides long. RefSeq lists it as uncharacterized. The transcript has 3 exons. NCBI's taxonomy places the organism in Eukaryota, Viridiplantae, Streptophyta, Magnoliopsida, Poales, Poaceae. The record is from RefSeq and is a predicted model, not a curated record.